This 408-nucleotide ribosomal RNA is filed under the name uncultured bacterium. RNAcentral's name for it is "partial 16S ribosomal RNA". It matches the Rfam family "Bacterial small subunit ribosomal RNA", at positions 28 to 526 of the family's 1533-position model. The record is from RNAcentral.
GACGAACGCUGGCGGCGUGCUUAACACAUGCAAGUCGAACGGAGUGGCGAACGGGUGAGUAACACGUUGGUGACCUUCCCUGAACUUCGGGAUAAGCCUGGGAAACCGGGUCCAAUACCGGCAAGUGUGGGAGGGGGCCGGUGCCUAUCAGCUUGUUGGUGGGGGAAUGGCCUACCAAGGCGGCGACGGGUAGCCGUCCUGAGAGGGUGGACGGCCACAUUGGGACUGCGACACGGCCCAGACGGCUACAGGGGGCAGCAGUGGCGAAUAUUGCACAAUGGGGGGGAGCCUGAUGCGGCGACGCCGCGGGGGGGAUGACGGUCUUCGGGGUGUAAACGCCUUUCACCAUCGACGCGGUAGAUGGAGAAGAAGCACCGGCUAACUCCGUGCCAGCAACCGCGGUAAUUC